This 402-nucleotide ribosomal RNA is filed under the name uncultured Treponema sp. Its description in RNAcentral is "bacterial SSU rRNA". It matches the Rfam family "Bacterial small subunit ribosomal RNA", at positions 338 to 737 of the family's 1533-position model. The record is from RNAcentral. Lineage: Bacteria; Pseudomonadati; Spirochaetota; Spirochaetia; Treponematales; Treponemataceae.
CCUACGGGUGGCUGCAGUGAGGAAUAUUGGUCAAUGGGCGGAAGCCUGAACCAGCCAAGUAGCGUGCAGGAUGACGGCCCUAUGGGUUGUAAACUGCUUUUGCAGGGGAAUAAAGUGAGAUACGUGUGUUUCAUUGCAUGUACCCUGCGAAUAAGGACCGGCUAAUUCCGUGCCAGCAGCCGCGGUAAUACGGAAGGUCCUGGUGUUAUCCGGAUUUAUUGGGUUUAAAGGGAGCGUAGGCCGGAGAUUAAGUGUGUUGUGAAAUGUAGACGCUCAACGUCUGACUUGCAGCGCAUACUGGUUUCCUUGAGUACGCACAACGUUGGCGGAAUUCGUCGUGUAGCGGUGAAAUGCUUAGAUAUGACGAAGAACUCCGAUUGCGAAGGCAGCUGACGGGAGCGC